This 253-nucleotide ribosomal RNA is filed under the name uncultured bacterium. RNAcentral's name for it is "partial 16S ribosomal RNA". It matches the Rfam family "Bacterial small subunit ribosomal RNA", at positions 524 to 776 of the family's 1533-position model. The record is from RNAcentral.
GACGAAGGAUGCAAGCGUUAUCCGGAUUCAUUGGGUUUAAAGGGAGCGUAGGUGGUCUUAUAAGUCAGUGGUGAAAUCUCUGGGCUUAACCCAGAAAUUGCCAUUGAUACUGUAGGACUUGAGUAUAGUUGCCGUUGGCGGAAUAUGACAUGUAGUGGUGAAAUACAUAGAGAUGUCAUAGAACACCGAUUGCGAAGGCAGCUAACGAAGCUGUAACUGACGCUGAGGCACGAAAGUGAGGGGAUCAAACAGG